Molecule: ribosomal RNA, 253 nt
Filed under: uncultured bacterium
Lineage: Bacteria
Description: partial 16S ribosomal RNA
Rfam family: Bacterial small subunit ribosomal RNA
Source: RNAcentral
UACGGGGGGGGCAAGCGUUGUUCGGAAUUACUGGGCGUAAAGGGCUCGUAGGUGGCCAACUAAGUCGGACGUGAAAUCCCUCGGCUUAACCGGGGAACUGCGUCUGAUACUGGAUGGCUUGAGUUCGGGAGAGGGAUGCGGAAUUCCAGGUGUAGCGGUGAAAUGCGUAGAUAUCUGGAGGAACACCGGUGGCGAAGGCGGGUCUCUGGGCAGUAACUGACGCUGAGGAGCGAAAGCGUGGGGAGCGAACAGG